GAUGAACGCUGGCGGCGUGCUUAACACAUGCAAGUCGAACGGGAAACCUUUUAUUGAAGCUUCGGCAGAUUUAGCUGGUUUCUAGUGGCGGACGGGUGAGUAACGCGUGGGUAACCUGCCUUAUACAGGGGGAUAACAACCAGAAAUGGUUGCUAAUACCGCAUAAGCGCACAGGACCGCAUGGUCCGGUGUGAAAAACUCCGGUGGUAUAAGAUGGACCCGCGUUGGAUUAGCUAGUUGGCAGGGUAACGGCCUACCAAGGCGACGAUCCAUAGCCGGCCUGAGAGGGUGAACGGCCACAUUGGGACUGAGACACGGCCCAGACUCCUACGGGAGGCAGCAGUGGGGAAUAUUGCACAAUGGGGGAAACCCUGAUGCAGCGACGCCGCGUGAAGGAAGAAGUAUCUCGGUAUGUAAACUUCUAUCAGCAGGGAAGAUAGUGACGGUACCUGACUAAGAAGCCCCGUCUAACUACGUG
This 478-nucleotide ribosomal RNA is filed under the name uncultured bacterium. RNAcentral describes it as "partial 16S ribosomal RNA". It matches the Rfam family "Bacterial small subunit ribosomal RNA", at positions 28 to 507 of the family's 1533-position model. The record is from RNAcentral.